Molecule: ribosomal RNA, 401 nt
Filed under: uncultured bacterium
Lineage: Bacteria
Description: partial 16S ribosomal RNA
Rfam family: Archaeal small subunit ribosomal RNA
Source: RNAcentral
ACACCGGCAGCUCGAGUGGUAGCUGUUUUUAUUGGGCCUAAAGCGUUCGUAGCCGGUUUGAUAAGUCUUUGGUGAAAGCUUGUAGCUUAACUAUAAGAAUUGCUGGAGAUACUAUCAGACUUGAAGUCGGGAGAGGUUAGAGGUACUACCGGGGUAGGGGUGAAAUCCUAUAAUCCUGGGAGGACCACCUGUGGCGAAGGCGUCUAACUGGAAGGAUCUUGACGGUGAGUAACGAAAGCCAGGGGGGCGGACCGGAUUAGAUACCCGGGUAGUCCUGGCCGUAAACGAUGUGGACUUGGUGUUGGAAUGGCUUUGAGUUGUUCCGGUGCCGAAGGGAAGAUGUUAAGUCCACCGCCUGGGAAGUACGGUCGCAAGACUGAAACUUAAAGGAAUUGACGGGG